GGACGUAUGCUCUUGCGCUCUCGGCGGCCCUGGAAAAUACGCGUCCGUAAUGAAUCGCAGCUCUCGAGUCGGUCCGUACCCACCAUCCGCAGCAGGUCUCCAAGGUGUACAGCCUCUCGUCGAUAACGCCAAUGUAGGUAAGGGAAGUCGGCAAAUUGGAUAUCGGAAGAGCAUC
Octopus sinensis (East Asian common octopus) is the source of this 175-nucleotide long non-coding RNA. RefSeq lists it as uncharacterized. The record is from RefSeq and is a predicted model, not a curated record. The transcript is spliced from 5 exons. Lineage: Eukaryota; Metazoa; Mollusca; Cephalopoda; Octopoda; Octopodidae.